RNAcentral lists this ribosomal RNA (37 nucleotides) under Umbilicaria haplocarpa. RNAcentral's name for it is "partial 26S ribosomal RNA". Lineage: Eukaryota; Fungi; Ascomycota; Lecanoromycetes; Umbilicariales; Umbilicariaceae. The record is from RNAcentral.
UGACCUCGGAUCUGGUAGGGAUACCCGCUGAACUUAA